UACAGAGGUCUCAAGCGUUGUUCGGAUUCAUUGGGCGUAAAGGGUGCGUAGGUGGCGCGCUAAGUCAGGUGUGAAAUUUCGGAGCUUAACUCCGAAACUGCAUUUGAUACUGGCGUGCUUGAGGACUGGAGAGGAGACUGGAAUUCAUGGUGUAGCAGUGAAAUGCGUAGAUAUCGUAAGGAAGACCAGUGGCGAAGGCGAAUCUCUGGACAGUUACUGACACUGAGGCACGAAGGCCAGGGGAGCAAACGGG
This 253-nucleotide ribosomal RNA is filed under the name uncultured bacterium. RNAcentral's name for it is "partial 16S ribosomal RNA". It matches the Rfam family "Bacterial small subunit ribosomal RNA", at positions 524 to 776 of the family's 1533-position model. The record is from RNAcentral.